This 27-nucleotide non-coding RNA is filed under the name Mus musculus (house mouse). The record is from RNAcentral. Lineage: Eukaryota; Metazoa; Chordata; Mammalia; Rodentia; Muridae.
GACAGAAGGGCGAGAUGGUCUAACAGU